Molecule: RNA transcript, 2220 nt
Organism: Girardinichthys multiradiatus
Lineage: Eukaryota; Metazoa; Chordata; Actinopteri; Cyprinodontiformes; Goodeidae
Gene name: nucleolar transcription factor 1-like
Exons: 14
Source: RefSeq, a predicted model, not a curated record
UGGAUGUGCUCCCUGUAGGGUUCCGCCCGUACGGAAGCUCAUUUGCAGGUUGUUUUAAAACAGAAACAAACACCAUGUGGUAUUUACGGUUUUUAGUUGCAAAAUAGCUUUUUAAUUAAUUAGAAUGCUUAGAAAAUCGAGAGUUGUUGAUUUUACUGUUGGUUGCUGGCACCUAUAUUAGAUGGUGUCGAUAAGUUAACCUGCUGCUAGGGUGUCUUCAGUUUUGAGUUGUUUUUAAUUUCUCUGCUUAAGGCUAUAUUCGAAACACUUAACAUUGUUUUAAAAAAGGGAAAUUUUGUUUCUGAAUUGAGUGAAAUAAAAAUGGACGGCGUCGAAUCGGAUGCUGAAACUACUCAAUGGACACGGGAAAACCUCGAGAAGCUCAUUGCUUCGAUGAAAGACACCAUCCCAGAAAAGGAGCAAACGCAGUCUUAUAUUCGAGGACUGAAAGCUCUAGAGUGGGAUAAAGUUGCUUUCCCCCCAUUUUCUCCAGAGGAAUGCCGGGUUAAGUGGAACAGUAUGAUGGGGAAGAUGCGCAGGUUUCGCAGCCUUCCCGAGCUCCUUGAUGAAGCUGAACAUGUGGUUUCAGACCCUGUCCACCACAGAAAUAUCCCAAAACAACUUACUCCUCCAAAAUUAGCUUAUAUGGCAAAACACAUGUCCAGGUAUAAGAAAAAACACCCUGGACUGACCAUAGGACAGGUUGCGAAGAAGUUAGCCAAGAAGUAUGAUGGGCUCCCAGAGGAAAAGAAGAUGAACUGUAUGAGGAAGUACACCAAUGAAUUUAGCAGAAGAAAGCAGGAGUUUUGUAUAGACAACAAUCUGCCGAUUCCUAGGAAAAGUGGUUCCAAAAGGAUCGCCCCUAAAGAUGGAGGUGAAGGCUGUAGUAAAGACGAAGGUCUGCCGGAGAAGCCUCCUCCACAUGGUCGGGCUCUGUUCCUCAAAGAACAGUCUGAAGCUGGCAGGUCUUCAUUUGGAAGUAGUUUUUUAAAGGAUAUGAGUCAACGCUGGAAGGAAAUGAGUGAAAACGAGAAGCAGAUGUAUAAUACACGCUGUGAAAAGAUGAAAAGAGAGUAUGAAACCAAGCUGAUUGAAUGUCUAGAUGGGUUAGAUGAGGAGAAGCAGCGGAUCAUCAAGGAAAAAGGAAUCAAAUUUUCUAAGAAGACUUUGGACCGAUAUGCGAGACUGCCGGGCGAACCAAAGUUGCCUCGUCGGACUCAGAGGAUGAGUCCUCGUUGCCCUCAGGAGUGAAAAAGGACGCAACAUUGUGAACAAGUCUGAGCGUUGGCCCAUUCCUCCACACAGAACUGAUGUCACUGAGUCAGGAUGAAUAGGGAGAAGAUGAAGAGGAUGACGAGAUGUUUGAGAGGUAUCAUUAAUAACGGACAGAACUGUUGCACACAUGGAAAACCCAGACUAAGGAUUCUGUGAUGGAUACCACGAAGAAAAAUAAAUACCACAUGUAACCUGGGAUUAUUGGACCUGCUGAGGCUGUGCUGUUAGCUGCUUGCAGGGCCGCACGUCAUGCAGUGAAGAACAAAUAAUCUGUGUGCUUUAAGAGUCUGGGUCCUUUAUAAUAAUCACAACUCCUCUGUUGGGAACAUAUUAGCCUAUUAGCCCAGGUGUUUUAUUUUUUAUGAAAGCCAGGAAGAUGCAUCUUUCACCUCGCUUUGGUAAAAACUUUGUUACACUGCAGUACUGAAGUACAAAUUGAUUCAGUGGAUCAUUUUUAUAUAUUUUGCUUUUCAACUCCUAAAACCAUAACAUUACUCCAGAGUUAAUAUGGAGGGUUCCUACUCUGGUUUAAAAAGUAAUCUGUGUUGGUCUGAAUAAAUAUGGAGAAAGUGUUGAUAAUUUGUUGUUUGCAGGUUAUUUUGCUAUUUGAUGAAAAUCAGAUUUUGUUGUUGAAGAACUGUUUAAAAAGGAAGAGUGGUUUUUAAAUAUUGAAACCACAAAUUACUUUCAAAUCCUACACCUUGCUCUGUUCAUAUAUGUUUAUAAGAAAACCAUUGUAAACCUUGAUUCAUCUAAAACGUUCAGUGUCACCAGUGUAUUCAGUAUGCAACUUUUUUCAGUCAGACCUCAGAACUCGUUCAUAGUUUUUCAAUUUUCUACAAAUGGCAACAUCUGUUUAAUAAAAUGAACUCAGUGGAUCAUGAAAAAGGAUUUUAAUUUUUUUGUCACUGCAAGGAUGAAAAUAAAAUAAAAAUAAUAUGCAGA